CCUACGGGGGGCAGCAGUGAGGAAUAUUGGUCAAUGGACGAGAGUCUGAACCAGCCAAGUAGCGUGAAGGAUGACUGCCCUAUGGGUUGUAAACUUCUUUUAUAUGGGAAUAAAACGUUCCACGUGUGGGAUUUUGUAUGUACCAUAUGAAUAAGGAUCGGCUAACUCCGUGCCAGCAGCCGCGGUAUUACGGAGGAUCAGAGCGUUAUCCGGAUUUAUUGGGUUUAAAGGGAGCGUAGGUGGAUUGUUAAGUCCGUUGUGAAAGUUUGCGGCUCAACCGUAAAAUUGAAGUUGAAACUGGCAGUCUUGAGUACAGUAGAGGUGGGCGGAAUUCGUGGUGUAGCGGUGAAAUGCUUAGAUAUCACGAAGAACUCCGAUUGCGAAGGCAGUUCACUGGACUGCAACUGACACUGAGGCUCGAAAGUGUGGGUAUCAAACAGGAUUAGAUACCCGAGUAGUC
This 460-nucleotide ribosomal RNA is filed under the name uncultured bacterium. Its description in RNAcentral is "partial 16S ribosomal RNA". It matches the Rfam family "Bacterial small subunit ribosomal RNA", at positions 338 to 795 of the family's 1533-position model. The record is from RNAcentral.